CGUAGGGUGCAAGCGUUGUCCGGAAUCACUGGGUGUAAAGGGUCCGCAGGCGGGCAAGCAAGUCGGUGGUGAAAUCUCGUAGCUCAACUACGAAACUGCCAUCGAUACUGCUUGUCUUGAGUUCGAGAGAGGAUGAUGGAAUUCAUGGUGUAGCGGUGUAAUGCGUAGAGAUCAUGAAGAACACCGGUAGCGAAGGCGGUCAUUUGGCUCGAUACUGACGCUCAGGGACGAAAGCGUGGGGAGCAAACAGGA
RNAcentral lists this ribosomal RNA (252 nucleotides) under uncultured prokaryote. RNAcentral describes it as "partial 16S ribosomal RNA". It matches the Rfam family "Bacterial small subunit ribosomal RNA", at positions 526 to 777 of the family's 1533-position model. The record is from RNAcentral.